AACCCAAAGGACUUGACGGUGUCCCACCCAACUAGAGGAGCCUGUUCUAUAAUCGAUGAUCCACGAUACACCAAACCAUUUCUCGCCACUCAGCCUGUAUACCUCCGUCGUAAGCUUACCGUAUGAACGCACACACUAGUAGGCCUAAGGACCUUAACGUCACAACGUCAGGUCAAGGUGCAGCUAAUGAAAUGGAAGCAAUGGGCUACAAUUUCUAAAUUAGAACAAACGAAAUACUACAUGAAACAUAGUCAUGAAGGAGGAUUUAGCAGUAAGUAGGAAAUAGAGAGUCCUACUAAACAUGGCCCUGGGAUGUGUACAAACCGCCCGUCACCCUCUUCGAUAG
Molecule: ribosomal RNA, 346 nt
Filed under: Zhangixalus schlegelii (Japanese gliding frog)
Lineage: Eukaryota; Metazoa; Chordata; Amphibia; Anura; Rhacophoridae
Description: Rhacophorus schlegelii (Japanese gliding frog) partial 12S ribosomal RNA
Rfam family: Bacterial small subunit ribosomal RNA
Source: RNAcentral